This 657-nucleotide ribosomal RNA is filed under the name Carnobacterium maltaromaticum. Its description in RNAcentral is "bacterial SSU rRNA". It matches the Rfam family "Bacterial small subunit ribosomal RNA", at positions 52 to 686 of the family's 1533-position model. The record is from RNAcentral. Lineage: Bacteria; Bacillati; Bacillota; Bacilli; Lactobacillales; Carnobacteriaceae.
UACAUGCAAGUCGAACGCACGAAGUUGAAGAGCUUGCUCUUUAACCAAGUGAGUGGCGGACGGGUGAGUAACACGUGGGUAACCUGCCCAUUAGAGGGGGAUAACAUUCGGAAACGGAUGCUAAUACCGCAUAGUUUCAGGAAUCGCAUGAUUCUUGAAGGAAAGGUGGCUUCGGCUACCACUAAUGGAUGGACCCGCGGCGUAUUAGCUAGUUGGUGAGGUAAUGGCUCACCAAGGCAAUGAUACGUAGCCGACCUGAGAGGGUGAUCGGCCACACUGGGACUGAGACACGGCCCAGACUCCUACGGGAGGCAGCAGUAGGGAAUCUUCCGCAAUGGACGAAAGUCUGACGGAGCAACGCCGCGUGAGUGAAGAAGGUUUUCGGAUCGUAAAACUCUGUUGUUAAAGAAGAACAAGGAUGAGAGUAACUGCUCAUCCCCUGACGGUAUUUAACCAGAAAGCCACGGCUAACUACGUGCCAGCAGCCGCGGUAAUACGUAGGUGGCAAGCGUUGUCCGGAUUUAUUGGGCGUAAAGCGAGCGCAGGCGGUUCUUUAAGUCUGAUGUGAAAGCCCCCGGCUCAACCGGGGAGGGUCAUUGGAAACUGGAGAACUUGAGUGCAGAAGAGGAGAGUGGAAUUCCACGUGUAGCGGUGAAA